AAUGAGAAUCAUCUUGAACUUAGUAUUUUUAGUUUCAAUUUGUGCAUUUUUUGCAAUAAUUAUGGCUCAGAAUACAACAACAACUUUACAUUGUCCAGUAAAAAAUUGCACUUUUUAUACUUAUGAACUUGGCGAACUUGUAACUCAUAACGCCGACAUUUGUGACUGUAAAGUAUUCUGGAAAUGUGCUGCUAAUGGAAAAGCUGUGAAAAUAAAUUGUCCUUCUACUCCGAGACAAUUAAUGUGGAACGAACAACUACAAGUUUGUGAUUAUUAUAGCAACAGUACCUGUGAAGCAAAACUAAACCGAACUGAAUGUCAAGAGUUGCAAAGAACAAACAUUUGUUACAAUAGUUAAAAAAUUCAUUUCAGCCCACUGUGCGUCGUUGGUUCUUGCCAAAUUGGACGAACAUGAAAGGAUUAAUUCGUUUUUUUAGUUUUAUUUGAAAAUUCAAGGAUUAUAUUUUAAGCAUUUUAAACAUCUCUGCCAAAAUUUCAUGGAGAUUUAAAUUAAAGUACUUGAAAAUUUUAUUUAAAAAAAAUUUACAAACAAAAUAAUCAAUUGAGACGAAGAAAAAUUAGAAUCGCUUGUCAAAAUACUCUUUUUGAUACUUUUGUGCGAACGUGAGUUAUCAAUAAAAGGGCCACGUUUCUUACCAUACGAGGCGUUAAUCACAUCACGUGCACACAAUAAAUCGUCCGUAAUAUCAUCAUCCAAUAAUUUAUCGCAGGUAGUACUCGAUUCGCUUACGUUUAUGUCAGAGAAACAAAUAUAUUUGUUUUUAACAAAAAAAAAAAAAACUGAAAUUCUUAACAAAUAUUCAUGAAAUUGAACCAACCGAAGUGAAAAACUGAAGUCGUUAAAAAGUUGUAAAAGACCUAAAUUUGCAUAUUUUGACCGAAAAAACAAAAUGCAGAAGAAAAGUAAUGAAUCGUGUUUUGUUAUAACCUAGCAGUUAAAUAAAUUUAGUUGUUUUCUUUUAUAAAGUCAAUGAUACUAAAAAGAAAAGUUAUUGUGUACGAAAAAAAUCUAAUCAAAGAACGCGUCAUGCACGUAUCGUUAAGUUUCGCCAUCAAUUCGUGAAAUGCAUUUCACAUUGAAAUUGAGCUCUUUUAUAAGUCUGUCUGUUAUUCUAUAUCACUUUGAAUACUUGUCAAAAAUUAUAAUUGAAAAUCUCAUAAAUUUAGGGAAAGCUUACAGUUACAGGACCUGGAUAAAGUAAGUGAACAUCUUUGCUUUUGUAAUGUUAAAGACCAUAUGAACCAAUGGAUCGACUCCUUCAAAUAUCAAGAAACGUAUCAAGAUUUCAGUUAGACCAAGACACACAAAAGAAUCUGCGCUAAAAAACCGAUUGAUUCCGAGAAGUGUAAAGCAAUUCAUAUCACAUGAACUUGUUCAUGCUAAAAAUCGUUUCUUAAGAUU
Long non-coding RNA from Culicoides brevitarsis, 1423 nucleotides. RefSeq lists it as uncharacterized. The record is from RefSeq and is a predicted model, not a curated record. The transcript is spliced from 3 exons. NCBI's taxonomy places the organism in Eukaryota, Metazoa, Arthropoda, Insecta, Diptera, Ceratopogonidae.